Molecule: RNA transcript, 5244 nt
Organism: Hippoglossus stenolepis (Pacific halibut)
Lineage: Eukaryota; Metazoa; Chordata; Actinopteri; Pleuronectiformes; Pleuronectidae
Gene: asap2a
Gene name: ArfGAP with SH3 domain, ankyrin repeat and PH domain 2a
Exons: 30
Source: RefSeq, a predicted model, not a curated record
UACCUUUGUCACUUUGUUGCGCUCCCGUUGAAUCGCUGUCGUCUCCCCGGGACUCGGACGCUGGAAGAAGAAGUUGCUCGCCCCGCUCUGUCGCACGUUAGCGGGGGAAAAAAACAAGCACCGAGAGAGGGAAGCUUCACUCUCACCUGCCGCCGGAGGACGAGCCGCGUGACUGGGGUGUUAAACCGGAGCAAGCGGGGCUGAAAGGCGGAAGGGAUAAGAAGCUCCAUCCCCCUGUGGAAGCGCACGGAGCCAACGUGCAGCACCGGACCGUGUGUGGAGCUAACGAGGGAAAUGACAUAAACACACACCCGGAGAUGGUUUACUACCCGAGGGGACCUUCACAGACACUCCCGCUGCUACCACUGUGAACUUCUCUGUCCUUAAACUACAGACCCAGAGAGGGAGAGCGGAUCAGAGAAAGUAGUGCGUCUCCUUCUUCUCCUUGUUAUCAGCAGCUAAGGGAUUAAUGAUGCCGGACCAAAUCACAGUUUCAGAGUUUGUGGCGGAGACGAAUGAAGACUACAAGUCGCCCACUGCCUCCAACUUCACCACCAGGAUGUCCCACUGCAGGAACACAGUGGCUGCCCUGGAGGAGGCUCUGGAUGUGGACCGCAGUGUUCUGUACAAGAUGAAGAAGUCUGUGAAAGCCAUCUACACGUCUGGUCUGGCCCAUGUGGAGAAUGAGGAGCAAUACACUCAGGCCCUGGAGAAGUUUGGAGAAAACUGUGUCUACAGAGACGAUCCUGAUCUCGGUUCAGCCUUCCUCAAGUUCUCUGUCUUCACCAAGGAGCUCACUGCGCUUUUCAAAAACCUGUUCCAAAACAUGAACAACAUCAUCACCUUUCCUCUGGACAGCCUGCUGAAAGGAGAUCUGAAGGGAGUCAAAGGGGAUCUAAAAAAGCCUUUUGACAAAGCCUGGAAGGACUACGAAACUAAAGUCACCAAGAUAGAGAAGGAGAAGAAGGAGCACGCGAGGCAGCACGGGAUGAUCCGGACAGAAAUCAGCGGGGCGGAGAUCGCUGAGGAGAUGGAGAAGGAGAGGAGAUUCUUUCAGUUGCAGAUGUGUGAGUAUCUCCUCAAAGUCAAUGAGAUCAAAAUCAAGAAGGGGGUGGACCUGCUGCAGAACCUCAUCAAGUACUUCCACGCGCAGUGCAAUUUCUUCCAGGAUGGUCUUAAAGCUGUGGACAACCUGAAGCCUUCCAUUGAGAAACUGGCCACAGAUCUGCACACAAUAAAGCAGGUGCAGGAUGAGGAGAGGAAGCAGCUCACUCAGUUGCGAGACGUCCUCAAGUCGGCGCUACAGGUGGAGCAGAAAGAGUCUAGGAGAGAUUCACAGGUGCGGCAGAGCACCACCUACAGCCUGCACCAGCCACAGGGUAACAAGGAGCACGGCACCGAGCGCAGUGGGUACCUAUACAAGAAAAGUGACGGGUUGAGGAAAGUCUGGCAGAAGAGAAAGUGCACGGCGAAGAACGGAUACCUCACCAUCUCACACGGCACGGCUAAUCGGCCGCCGGCUAAACUCAACCUGCUCACCUGCCAGGUGAAACACAAUCCUGACGAGAAGAGGAGCUUUGACCUCAUAUCACACGACAGAACGUAUCACUUUCAGGCUGAGGACGACCAGGACUGUCAGAUCUGGAUCUCGGUGCUGCAGAACAGUAAGGAGGAGGCGCUGAAUCAGGCCUUUAAAGGGGACCAGCAUGUCGGCGAGAACAACAUUGUGCAGGAGCUGACCAAGGCGAUCCUCGGAGAAGUGAAGAGGAUGACGGGAAAUGACCUUUGCUGCGACUGUGGAGCCCCCAACCCAACGUGGCUGUCCACCAACCUGGGUAUUCUCACCUGUAUUGAAUGUUCGGGGAUCCACAGGGAGCUGGGCGUCCACUACUCCAGGAUCCAGUCGCUCACUCUGGAUGUACUCAGCACCUCGGAGCUCUUGCUGGCCAAGAAUGUGGGGAACGCAGGCUUUAAUGAAAUCAUGGAGGCUUGUUUAAGUGCUGAAAAUGUGGUGAAACCCAACCCAGCCAGUGACAUGCAGGCGAGGAAAGACUUCAUCACAGCCAAAUACACAGAGAAACGUUUCGCCAGGAAGAAGUGUCCUGAAGCGACGUCGCGGCUCCACACGCUGUGCGACGCCGUGAAGGCCCGAGACAUUUUCUCCCUCAUCCAGGUGUACGCCGAGGGAGUCGACCUCAUGGAGCCCAUACCUCUGGCCAACGGACACGAACAAGGGGAGACGGCCCUUCAUCUCGCAGUGAGACUGGUGGAUCGAACAUCUCUUCACAUUGUAGACUUCCUCACUCAGAACAGUUUGAAUCUGGAUAAGCAGACAGCCAAAGGCAGCACGGCGCUACACUACUGCUGUCUGACCGACAACAGCGAGUGUCUGAAACUGCUGCUGCGGGGGAAGGCCUCCAUAGAGAGCGCUAAUGAAGCCGGGGAGACGCCGCUGGAUAUCGCUCGCAGGCUCAAACACCUACAGUGUGAGGAACUGUUGAACCAAGCACUGGCAGGGAAAUUCAACGUCCAUGUCCACGUUGAGUAUGAGUGGUGUCUGCAGCACGAAGACUUGGAUGAGAGUGAUGAAGAUCUGGAUGAGAAGCCCAGUCCUCAUCGCAGAGACGAGCGACCGGUCAGCUGUUACACCCCGAGCAGUAACUCCACCCUGGGCCCCGGAGGCCGCGACGCCCUCUCCAAGGACAAACAGCGCGGCUACAUGCCCAGCCUGGUGAACAACGAAACCUACGGCACCAUCCUCAACAACAACCAGAGUCAGAACGCCACCACCUCCGCUCCUCCCUUGCCCCCGAGAAACCUGGUCCAGUUAUCCGGUCUGGGUGGGAUCAUUCAGUCGUCAGCGUCCGGCAGCUGGAAGCCCGGUCCUUUAGACCUGGUGGGGCGACAAAGGUCGUCCUCAGACCCCCCCAACAUGCACCCUCCUGUCCCGCCUCUGAGACUCACCUCGACUGGAGUUCUGGGUCCUCCUCCUUUGAACUUACAGUCCAAAUCAGGCCAGGGGCCCCCGGGGUCCAGAGCGGCACCACCCAAAUCUCCUGCUGGCAACGAUAAAAGCUUCAACAGAGGACCUCUAAAUCGAACCCAGUCCAUCGAGAGACCAGCUAAGGAAGUGCCAGGAUGCCCCCAGAACUCCAUAGGUCAGUCCCUGCCGCCAGCCCCCAUGCCGAGGAAGGCCUACCCAAAGCAGAGGCCGAAGCGAGUGAAGGCCAUCUACAACUGUGCGGCCGACAACCCGGACGAGCUGACGUUCUCCGAGGGCGAGGUGAUCGUGGUGGAUGGAGAGGAGGACCAGGAGUGGUGGGUGUAGAAGACGUUUAAAAAGCCUUAAUGGACAUAAAUAAGUACUCUCUUCCCUUAAGCUGGGCCACAUCGAAGGUGAUCCAAUGAGAAGAGGAGCCUUCCCGGUCACGUUUGUGCACUUCAUCGCUGACUGAAAGAUCACACUGGGUCUCAGGAAGUGUCCCAGGACGCAGCGUCCCACCUCCACCCGCUGCCUGUGUCUGUCGACACCCACCAACCCACCAACCCACCAUCAUCCCAGUGUUUGUUUGUCGACAUCAUCGGCAUCAUCAUCAUCAGCAUCAUCGGCGUGCUUGAGGAAGCGUUGCUGAUCCAUUACCUUAGCUGCAAAUUUGUGUGGCCGUCAUUUCAGCGGUAGCACACACACACGGGCCAGCAAGUGUCAGUGUCGUGGAUUUUAAUGCUUGCUGUUAAUGUUUCUGAGACAGACUCUUAAAAUUCAAAAAAACUCUUUAUGAUUGUAGUGAACGGCCUCUCGCAAUAAAUGCACUUUCUUGUCUUUAUCCCUGCUACAACAUAAGACGACGUGACAUGAUGAAGGUUGUGUACAGAGUUCUUUUCUCCCGUUUUUCUGCAAAUGUACCAGUGAAGACUCCAGCAAUGUAUCUUAACUUUAACUAACGACUGUAAGAGUGAACGUAGACGACAUGCUUACAUUCCACCUCCGUGCAUGUGUGAUUUUAUAAAAGCCCACCUGCUUCUAGGUGUAGUAGCCCUCCUGUGUGGAGGUUUCUCUAAUGGUGCUAAGUUAAACCCCAGAAUAUGCUCGAAGCUGCACCCAGGGGGCGCUAUCCUCCCUGUCCCUGUUUUCAUAGAGAGACAUUAAAGUGCUGCAUGUAAAGGAAAGCCUUCACCUCAGCUGCUCUGGGAGAAGAUGCUUUCUCCCCCCCACGUGUGUGUAGAGUGAGAGAGCUGCACAUGAAUUCUACGUCACACGUCUUCCUCCCUUUUUUCUGCCUGAGCUAUUUUAGGAAAAUAUCCAACAGCAACACUUCUUCCUCCCGAGCUUCUUUGGGUCAAAUGAUGACAGUGACUGGAGCCGCAGCAGCAGCCAGUAAUUACCUUCAUGUCCAGUCUGACACCUCAGGCUGUCUUCACCUGACAUCUGCCUUAUUAGAGAAAGAGGGAGUGUGUGUGUCGGCUGCACAGAAUAAACUGAAGAUGACAGUAUUCAAGAAUAUUGAAGAAAGAGGAAAUUAAAGAAGAAAAAUUGAGGGAAUGUGAUGAAAAGCAGAAGUUGGCUGUGACUUCUGUUGCUUCCUCUUGUCUUUUAGCGCACUAACGCUCCAACGUGCUGAUUUUUUUAUUUUUAUUUUGACGCUCUCUACAACCACACACAGAGAAGAAUGUCCUUCCCACAGUUUAAGCUUCUCAUACUUGUACAUAACCGGGGUUCUAUAAUGUAGAAAGAUUAGUUGAUCUAUAGUGUUAUUAAAUAAAUAUAAAACACACAAUGUAAUUAACUUUGGUUGCAGAGCAACUUUCUUUCUGUUCAUAAUGUUGAUAUCGAGCCUUCCAUGGAUUUGUGAAUGACAAGAAGAGAAGCGUGUGAAUCACUGAGCUGAUUCACUCGCUCUCUUCAUCGUGUUUAAUAUGAACUCACUGGAAACAGGAAGAUUUAAUAACCUAUUCAUGUAAAUAUGUUUGGUUUGGUUUUGUUGAUAUUUAAAUGUAAAGAGCAGAGUUAGCGUGGGCAGUGAAUGUCUUUUUAAUGCACUGUGGUGAUGAGCAGUUACAGAUGUGACCUCAGCUGGACCUGUGUGUGUGCGCGCACUCAGAACACAAACACUCACUGCUGGGAAAAUACCCUCAUCAGUUCAUUCUCAUUAACUGUCUGUGGAUCACUGCGUCGACUCUUAACUCUGUUGUGGAAGAAAAUGGGAAAAUGAAACUGGAAUAAUAAAAUAUGAAAUAAUACGAUGA